Long non-coding RNA from Xiphophorus maculatus (southern platyfish), 1351 nucleotides. RefSeq lists it as uncharacterized. NCBI's taxonomy places the organism in Eukaryota, Metazoa, Chordata, Actinopteri, Cyprinodontiformes, Poeciliidae. The transcript has 3 exons. The record is from RefSeq and is a predicted model, not a curated record.
GUUUGUAUCAUGUUGCACAGUCUGAGUCCCACCUCACUUGAGCCUGACAUAUAAAUCUUAGAGCUUUUUUUGUUUUAAUUUUGGAGUCUGAAAACAACAUUUCUACCCAGUUAAUUUUGGAGAGGACAUCCCUGUCUGAACGCACACUUUCUAACCAAGCAACCUUCCACCUCAGUUGGGUCUAUUUUGGUGAAGCAACUAAAAGGGACCUCCACUGUGGAUGAAAUUUAGCCACAAUCCCUCUGACCUUUUGGGUUCAACGUUUGUCUCCAGUCCAGUGACCACAAACAACUCCUGGAUUGCUGUAAAUGUCAGUGCAGCGGUGUCCCCGCCCUAUCCCCUGUGAACCACAGAGCUGCACUCAACCUGCACUAACAGGACAAUUUCAUGAGGGCUCCAUUAUCAGUUAGACCAGGUUUGAUAACUCAGGUUUCCUUCUAAUGACGUCUCUAUAACCUGAAGAGCUAUCAUCAGUCAGGCAGUAAAGAGUCUCUUGUACUUUUUUUUAUUUUACUUUUAUCCAGCCAAAAAUAUCAUAUGAGUCAAAGGUAGAAAUUAUUAAAAAUAAUUUUGACCUAUUUUGUGUACCACCCAGUGUUCACCAUCUAUCAUAAUUGUCAGAUGUAAUAGAUUGUAAUUUAUAUCCUGAAGACACUGGUUGUAAUGCAUUCCAUUUUGAAGCACUUUGGCUCACACUUCCCCCCACCCAUAAACAGACACGCUCCCUUUUCUCUGCUCCCUGGGCCUCCUGAGGUUGGUGUCUCUGCUUUAGAACUCCAUUGUUGCCUGCUGCUGGAUAAUGCCCUUAUUAAUUGUACCUCUUUGUAAGGUGUCAGCUGUAGCCUCAGAUUGAGAUGGAUGGAUCUCUGGAGUCUGCUUCCCUGGCCCUCCAUAGACCCUCUAUCUCUGCGCAACACACAGAUGCAACAGCGAGCUCUGCCACAUAUGACUAAAAGCCUUGAUAAAACAGGCAUUUUAAUUGUUGCACCAGGAAGGAAAAGGUCUCCAACUAAAACCUAAUAAAGGUAAUUUUACCUAUUUCUAAGGUGAGUCGGCAUCUUACGUAGGAUCCAUAACAAAGCUGAAUUAUAUCUAGAUUUCUUUUCUGUAUUGAUUAUUUCAGUUUAUUGCAGAUAUGCUGCUUAAUUAAGCGCAUUGAACCCUUUGUGAAUUUAGCUGCAUUGACAUCAAAUCCUCCAGCUCUCAUUAAAGGAAACAGUCAGUUUAAUUAAUGUAUAUUAAGCUCCACUGAUACUAUUUUUUUAGCUUUGAGUAAAGCAUGGUGGUGCCUCCGUUGGGUCCUAAAAAGAAAGGUUUGAUAGCUUCCUUAAGAAUAAGACCUUUAUUUGUU